This 477-nucleotide ribosomal RNA is filed under the name uncultured bacterium. RNAcentral describes it as "partial 16S ribosomal RNA". It matches the Rfam family "Bacterial small subunit ribosomal RNA", at positions 28 to 523 of the family's 1533-position model. The record is from RNAcentral.
GACGAACGCUGGCGGCGUGCUUAACACAUGCAAGUCGAGCGAUGAACCUCCUUCGGGAGUGGAUAGCGGCGGACGGGUGAGUAACACGUGGGUAACCUGCCUCAUAGAGGGGAAUAGCCUUUCGAAAGGAAGAAUAAUACCGCAUAAGAUUGUAGCUUCGCAUGAAGCAGCAAUUAAAGGAGUAAUCCGCUAUGAGAUGGACCCGCGUCGCAUUAGCUAGUUGGUGAGGUAACGGCUCACCAAGGCGACGAUGCGUAGCCGACCUGAGAGGGGGAGCGGCCAAAUGGGGACGGAGACACCGCCCAGACUCCUAGGGGGGGCAGCAGUGGGAAAUAUUGCACAAGGGGGGAACCCCUGAGGCAGCCACGCCGCGUGAGUGAGGACGGUCUUGGGUUUGAAAAGCUCUGUCUCCAGGGACGAUAAGGAGGGUACCGGGGGAGGAAGCCACGGCUAACUACGUGCCAGCAGCCGCCGUAA